Molecule: ribosomal RNA, 301 nt
Filed under: uncultured bacterium
Lineage: Bacteria
Description: partial 16S ribosomal RNA
Rfam family: Bacterial small subunit ribosomal RNA
Source: RNAcentral
CAGCCGCCGCGGGAAUACGGAGGGUGCAAACGUUGCUCGGAAUCAUUGGGCGUAAAGCGCACGUAGGCGGCCCGCUAAGUCGGAUGUGAAAGCCCUGGGCUCAACCCAGGAAGUGCAUUCGAAACUGGCAGGCUUGAAUAUGGAAGAGGGUCGCGGAAUUCCCGGUGUAGAGGUGAAAUUCGUAGAUAUCGGGAGGAACACCAGUGGCGAAGGCGGCGACCUGGGCCAAUAUUGACGCUGAGGUGCGAAAGCGUGGGGAGCAAACAGGAUUAGAUACCCCUGUAGUCCCUGUCUCUUAUAC